Long non-coding RNA from Labeo rohita (rohu), 634 nucleotides. RefSeq lists it as uncharacterized. The transcript is spliced from 4 exons. Lineage: Eukaryota; Metazoa; Chordata; Actinopteri; Cypriniformes; Cyprinidae. The record is from RefSeq and is a predicted model, not a curated record.
AAACAGCUUCGACUUUCAAAACUUCUCUACUCCUCUGUAUUUUAUACUCAUUGGACACUUGCACCCUGCUUGCUUUAAAUUCAUCUCACCUGUGUGGCAUUUCAGAGUCUGCUGGAGGUGUUGAGAGAUGGCAGGUUAAAACAUUCUGUACAUGGCAAAGAGCCAUUGCGUAAACUCAGAUCAGUGCCUAUUUUUAGCUUUUCGAGAUAACGUGCUUCGACACUCAUAUCAACCUUGGAGACCCCCAGAGAAUUCAUGAGCCUUGUUCAGUGCUUUCGACUAUCUGCAAGGUCUUGUCGUGAGCAACAGGAACAUUUUCCAAUGCUGUCUGAAAUGGUGGAAAGCCCAACAGUGAUGCAAGUGCAGCAAUCAGAUCAAACUAAAUGAGGAGAAAGAAAGUGAUCCAAAUUUGAAUUUAAAGCUGCAAGCAGCGAUAAAAGAGCCCUGGCUCCCUGACUCACGUCCGCCCGGUGACUACAGGAAAACAGCAAACGAACUGACAUGAGGAGAACACAGGGAGAAGAGCUCACCUCCCUUUGGGAAGCUUCCCGUCCUCUAGGAAGAGAGCCCAGAUCUGAUGCGUUCCUGCCAUGGCUAUCCACAACACAUCACCACCUGCAUAAACACAAACACA